This is a long non-coding RNA of Pipistrellus kuhlii (Kuhl's pipistrelle), 742 nucleotides long. RefSeq lists it as uncharacterized. The transcript is spliced from 3 exons. The record is from RefSeq and is a predicted model, not a curated record. NCBI's taxonomy places the organism in Eukaryota, Metazoa, Chordata, Mammalia, Chiroptera, Vespertilionidae.
GAUGCUCCCCAGGCCUGGCAGAACUUGGAACCUUGAAAAGGGAAUAAGGGGCCCUGGAAUGGCUGGGGUUGGGGUCACAGUGGGGCAGCAGGGAGUUAGUGGGGAAAGUAGAUGAAGACUUGGCUUCUGGUCUCAGCUGUGCCUGUUUGUGACCUUGAUUGAGCUACUUGCCCUUGACUUCUGCCUAUAAAUCAGAUGUAAAAAUGCCUGUUGGGAGAAAUGAGAACAUGGAGCCAGGGCUAUUUGGAGGAAAAGUACAUGGACCAAGUCUCAGGUGUGUCUGUCUGUGGCUGCACAGGCUUCCAAACCAAAACCUCACGUUCAGAGAACCGAGUGUCCUCUGUCCCCAGGGCCUGUGCCCUAGAUUUUAACACUGCACCCUCAUUUUGUGCCCUAUAAUGGCUGCGUCCCUUUGGGCAACCCCCAAAUCCACAUUUACAAAACAGUUAGUUAGGGGUGACUGUUUGCAUUACCAGAAUACUCUCAGGGUUCCUCUAAAUGGCAGCUCUCCUGUUGCAUUCAAGUGUUUACAGAUUAACGAAUGUGUCAGAAAGUCCCCUGUUCAUUGCACUUGCUGUGGUGUUGCGCAUUCACCAAACCAAUGGAAGCCAUGCUCUGCUAUGACAAUGUUAAUGUGAUCUGACCUUAGCAUUUUCCCUACAAAAUACAUAUGUUGCAUAAAGCGAGGCCCACUUCUGCCCACUUUUUGUUAAAAAUGUGUGUGUGUGUGUGUGUGUGUGUG